This 497-nucleotide ribosomal RNA is filed under the name uncultured bacterium. RNAcentral's name for it is "partial 16S ribosomal RNA". It matches the Rfam family "Bacterial small subunit ribosomal RNA", at positions 28 to 507 of the family's 1533-position model. The record is from RNAcentral.
GAUGAACGCUGGCGGCGUGCCUAAUACAUGCAAGUCGAGCGAACGGACGGGAAGCUUGCUUCUCUGAUGUUAGCGGCGGACGGGUGAGUAACACGUGGAUAACCUACCUAUAAGACUGGGAUAACUUCGGGAAACCGGAGCUAAUACCGGAUAAUAUUUUGAACCGCAUGGUUCAAAAGUGAAAGACGGUCUUGCUGUCACUUAUAGAUGGAUCCGCGCUGCAUUAGCUAGUUGGUAAGGUAACGGCUUACCAAGGCAACGAUGCAUAGCCGACCUGAGAGGGUGAUCGGCCACACUGGAACUGAGACACGGUCCAGACUCCUACGGGAGGCAGCAGUAGGGAAUCUUCCGCAAUGGGCGAAAGCCUGACGGAGCAACGCCGCGUGAGUGAUGAGGGUCUUCGGAUCGUAAAACUCUGUUAUUAGGGAAGAACAUAUGUGUAAGUAACUGUGCACAUCUUGACGGUACCUAAUCAGAAAGCCACGGCUAACUACGUG